CGAAGCAACGCGAAGAACCUUACCUAAGCUUGACAUCCCAAUGACAUCUCCUUAAUCGGAGAGUUCCCUUCGGGGACAUUGGUGACAGGUGGUGCAUGGUUGUCGUCAGCUCGUGUCGUGAGAUGUUGGGUUAAGUCCCGCAACGAGCGCAACCCUUGUCUUUAGUUGCCAUCAUUAAGUUGGGCACUCUAGAGAGACUGCCAGGGAUAACCUGGAGGAAGGUGGGGAUGACGUCAAAUCAUCAUGCCCCUUAUGCUUAGGGCUACACACGUGCUACAAUGGGUAGUACAGAGGGUUGCCAAGCCGUAAGGUGGAGCUAAUCCCUUAAAGCUACUCUAAGUUAGGAUUGUAGGCUGAAACUCGCCUACAUGAAGCUGGAGUUACUAGUAAUCGCAGAUCAGAAUGCUGCGGUGAAUGCGUUCCCGGGUCUUGUACACACCGCCCGUCACACCACGGGAGUUGGAGACGCCCGAAGCCGAUUAUCUAACCUUUUGGAAGAAGUCGUCGAAGGUGGAAUCAAUAACUGGGGUGAAGUCGUAACAAGGUAGCCGUAUCGGAAGGUGCGGCUGGAUCACCUCCUUUCUAAGGA
This 589-nucleotide ribosomal RNA is filed under the name Clostridioides difficile. Its description in RNAcentral is "bacterial SSU rRNA". It matches the Rfam family "Bacterial small subunit ribosomal RNA", at positions 952 to 1533 of the family's 1533-position model. Lineage: Bacteria; Bacillati; Bacillota; Clostridia; Peptostreptococcales; Peptostreptococcaceae. The record is from RNAcentral.